RNAcentral lists this ribosomal RNA (278 nucleotides) under uncultured bacterium. RNAcentral's name for it is "partial 16S ribosomal RNA". It matches the Rfam family "Bacterial small subunit ribosomal RNA", at positions 29 to 289 of the family's 1533-position model. The record is from RNAcentral.
ACGAACGCUGGCGGCGUGCCUAACACAUGCAAGUCGCACGAGAAAUCCUGGGCAACCGGGAAAGUAAAGUGGCGCACGGGUGAGUAACGCGUGGGUAACCUGCCCUUGAGUUGGGGAUAACCCCGCGAAAGCGGGGCUAAUACCGAAUAAUAUGUCAGUCUCUAUGGGGAUUGAAAUCAAAGGUAGCCUCUGCAUGCAAGCUAUUGCUCAAGGAUGGGCCCGCGUACCAUUAGCUUGUUGGUAGGGUAAUGGCCUACCAAGGCAACGGUGGUUAGCUG